This 448-nucleotide ribosomal RNA is filed under the name uncultured bacterium. RNAcentral's name for it is "partial 16S ribosomal RNA". It matches the Rfam family "Bacterial small subunit ribosomal RNA", at positions 29 to 523 of the family's 1533-position model. The record is from RNAcentral.
AACGAACGCUGGCGGCAGGCCUAAAACAUGCAAGUCGAACGAUCUAGCAAUAGAUAGUGGCGCACGGGUGAGUAACACGUGGAAUAUCCCUUUCACUACGGAACAACGUCGGGAAACUGACGCUAAUACCGUAUAAUGUCUCCGGACCAAAGAUUUAUCGGUGAAAGAUUAGCCCGCGUCUGAUUAGCUAGUUGGUGAGGUAACGGCUCACCAAGGCAACGAUCAGUAGCUGGUCUGAGAGGAUGAUCAGCCACACUGGAACUGAGACACGGUCCAGACUCCUACGGGAGGCAGCAGUUAGGAAUAUUGGACAAUGGGGGCAACCCUGAUCCAGCCAUGCCGCGUGUGUGACGAAGGCCUUAGGGUUGUAAAGCACUUUCGUCUACGAAGAUAAUGACAGUAGUAGAAGAAGAAGCUCCGGCUAAAUUCGUGCCAGCCGCCGCGGUAA